This 1197-nucleotide long non-coding RNA is filed under the name Canis lupus familiaris (dog). Its description in RNAcentral is "lncRNA (ENSCAFG00030001092.1)". Lineage: Eukaryota; Metazoa; Chordata; Mammalia; Carnivora; Canidae. The record is from RNAcentral.
GGGCAAAAAGUAAACAAGAAGUGAGGAAAAGCUGAGGCAUAACCGUCCUUUGCAUGUGGGGAGGUUCAGCCCUGCUUGGGUUCAGGGCGCGGGUUGUGGGCGGGGUGACCGGGCCCCUGGGGGGCACCACGGAGAGGAGGCCCAGCUCCAGGGUGGCACGGCCACGGCCCUCCCACCGUAGCCCCCCAUGGUCAAGGCUGAGGUCACCCCUGGGGUCCCGUUCCCAAGGCCCUAACCCCAGGCACAGGGGUUCCUUGCUGGUGAAGAUUGCAUUUACUUCUUGGAGAGCGCAGGCCUGAGCAGGAGCAGGGGAGGGGGGGCGGCGGCGGGUGCUGAGCAGGGGGCUGGGGCUCGGGUCACAGGGAUCGUGUCCACACGGGGGAUCGCCCCCCAGGCCCCCUCCAAGGACUCCCACCAGGGUUUUGGAUUUGAGGUAAGACACGUGGAGAGGACGGAGACAUUGUGUCUGAGGCGGGACUGGGGGUCCAGCCCUGCCGUGUGAGGCAGCCUGGGGGUCCCCAUGGGCUCCUCCCUGGGUUUUGGGGUGCAGCCCGAGCAGGCGGCGACUGCAUUACUGGACGGGCCAGGUGGGCCUCCGCGCCCCCCGGGGACACGGGCCUGUCCUCACCCCUCUCGCCCCGGCUCUGCCCUCCGCCUCUUAGGUCAAGCGAGGAGGCCACCCGUGCAAGGGACAGGCCACCUGUGACGUCGCUGUCAUUCCCCACUUGCUCACUCACAACCCGGCCGCCGCCCCCGGGGAUGAGUCCUUGAGCCCAGCCCCCCGACGGCUACCCAGCUAAACAGUUCAUUUACUGCACGAUGCCUAGCUUCAAACUCCUGCGUCCUCGUGGGACUCCCUGGUUGUCCGCGAACCGCCUAGAAAUCCCAGGAUCUCCCCCAAGCAACCCCGGGAAGCUCCCCCCCACCCCGGAAGACCCAAGGACUGGUCCUAAAUCUCGCCAGCCUGGGAUAGGGUCCUGCAGGUACCUUGCUACGGCCUUGGCCUUGGCCCUGGAGUGCGAGCAGCCGGGAGGUUGGCAGGGGCUCCCUGGCCCGUGGGCCGCCCGGCUUCAGGCGCCUUGUACCCUGGGGGUCACACGUGAGACCAGCGUCCCCAGGCGGGCAGUCGUCCUGUCUCCGUGGCGAAGUCACAGAAGACCCCGCUGCCAGUUGGGCCAGAGUUUCCAGGUAGCAUGA